UACGGGGGGGGCAAGCGUUGUUCGGAAUUACUGGGCGUAAAGGGCUCGUAGGCGGCCAACUAAGUCAUACGUGAAAUCCCUCGGCUUAACCGGGGAACUGCGUCUGAUACUGGAUGGCUUGAGUUCGGGAGAGGGAUGCGGAAUUCCAGGUGUAGCGGUGAAAUGCGUAGAUAUCGGGAGGAACACCAGUGGCGAAGGCGGCUUCCUGGCCUGUUCUUGACGCUGAGGCGCGAAAGCUAGGGUAGCAAACGGG
RNAcentral lists this ribosomal RNA (253 nucleotides) under uncultured bacterium. RNAcentral's name for it is "partial 16S ribosomal RNA". It matches the Rfam family "Bacterial small subunit ribosomal RNA", at positions 524 to 776 of the family's 1533-position model. The record is from RNAcentral.